Mya arenaria is the source of this 567-nucleotide long non-coding RNA. RefSeq lists it as uncharacterized. The transcript has 3 exons. Lineage: Eukaryota; Metazoa; Mollusca; Bivalvia; Myida; Myidae. The record is from RefSeq and is a predicted model, not a curated record.
UGCAGUUUUGUUUAAUAAAAUGGAUUGAUUAUAAGGUAAAUGUUUUUUUGUUUUUUUUAUCAUAUUAACAUCCAAAAAAGAUCAUGACUUAUCAUUUUAUUUUAUUUUUACACAUAUUAGGCUCUUUGUCUUUGUUUAAAGUUUGACUAAGAGAUAAGCUUUAUGCAUGUACUGUCAAGUAUGUUUCACUUUAUUCCAAAAUAAUUGACAAAUAUACUCAGUCAAGCAAUGUACUAAGUUUAAAAAUUAUCAUUCAAUUUGUACAAUGAAGUUGAAGAUGUAUAAAGAAAUGUUAUACACAUUUUUUCCAGACAACCCCCCCCCCAUAAGGAUGACAAUGUACUUGGACAAGAUUCUAAGACCUUUUUGAAAGAAAUAUGAAUAGGGGACUUCUGUAGCAGAAGAAGUAUAGCCAAACUUGCAGAAAACGACAACCGAAUGACUGCAUCACUAAAGAAAAGAAACAGGAUUUCUCCAAAAAUAGAAAUGCAGACAGCUCUUCGCCAUCAACUGUGAUCCUUUGUAAUUUUGUGUACAUAUGAAACUAAAUGACUGCAUAGAAAUGUU